GGACGUGAAUGAGUGCGUAAUAAAUCCGUCCAAGGAAGUGCACAAGUGAAGUGUAAAGGAGGGCCUAAACACACCAAAAUCAGCCCACUUCUUGCACUUGAUGGGCACCUCACCCUUGAGAGGUAUUAUGGACAUUUCACACUAUUUUUGUAAUAUCUAUAAAUAGAACCUUUUAGGGUUUCAUUCAUUAGACUUUGAUGAUAAUGAAUGUUGUAUAACAUUGAAAGACAAG
RNAcentral lists this long non-coding RNA (232 nucleotides) under Capsicum annuum. RNAcentral describes it as "long non-coding RNA (CANN_LNC000569)". The record is from RNAcentral. Lineage: Eukaryota; Viridiplantae; Streptophyta; Magnoliopsida; Solanales; Solanaceae.